UCCGGUUUAGACCGGCGGUCUCCCUAGAGAUUUCAACUAAGGACAAGGGUUGCGCCCCUUGCGGGGACCACCCAUCUCUGGGCUUAGCACGGGAUGUCAAGGCCUGGUAAGGUUCUGCGCGUUGCGUCGAAUUAAACCACAUGCUCCACCGCUUGUGCGGGCCCCCGUCAAUUCCUUUGAGUUUCAACCUUGCGGCCGUACUCCCCAGGCGGGAUGCUUAAUGCGUUAGCUGCGCCACUGAUAAGCAUGCUUACCAACGGCUAGCAUCCAUCGUUUACGGCGUGGACUAC
Molecule: unclassified non-coding RNA, 290 nt
Filed under: uncultured Alphaproteobacteria bacterium
Lineage: Bacteria; Pseudomonadati; Pseudomonadota; Alphaproteobacteria
Description: contains 16S-23S intergenic spacer region
Source: RNAcentral